UACAGAGGUGGCAAGCGUUGUUCGGAAUUACUGGGCGUAAAGGGCGCGUAGGCGGUCUUGCAAGUCCCGUGUGAAAUCCCUCGGCUCAACUGAGGAACUGCACGGGAAACUGCUUGGCUUGAGUUCGGGAGAGGGAAGCGGAAUUCCGGGUGUAGCGGUGAAAUGCGUAGAUAUCUGGAGGAACACCGGUGGCGAAGGCGGCAUCCUGGACCGGUAUUGACGCUGAGGCGCGAAAGCGUGGGGAGCAAACAGG
RNAcentral lists this ribosomal RNA (253 nucleotides) under uncultured bacterium. RNAcentral describes it as "partial 16S ribosomal RNA". It matches the Rfam family "Bacterial small subunit ribosomal RNA", at positions 524 to 776 of the family's 1533-position model. The record is from RNAcentral.